GACGAACGCUGGCGGCGCGCUUAACAAAUGCAAGUCGAGCGAUGAAACUUUAACAGAACCCUUCGGGGCGAAGAUAAAGUGGAUUAGCGGCGGACGGGUGAGUAACACGUGAGUAACCUGCCUUAGACAUUGGGAUAGCCUCGGGAAACCGGGAUUAAUACCAAAAAAAAUCAUAAUGACACAUGUCAUAAAGAUCAAAACUCCGGUGGUUUAAGAUGGACUCGCGUCCCAUUAGCCCUCUGGUAGAGUAAAAGCCGACCAAGGCGACGAAGGGGAGCCGGGCUGGACGGGUGAACCGCCCUAGUGGAACUGACGACCGUUCCCCAAUUCUGCCGGAAGCAGGCUGCUGGAAUAUUGCACAAGGGAGUGAGCUCUGAUGCAGCGACGCCGCGUGAACGAAGUAGUCUUUCUAGUCGUAAAGUUCUUCUAUAUGGGAAGAUAAUGACGGUACCUUAAGAAAUAGCCCCGGCUAACUACGUG
This 480-nucleotide ribosomal RNA is filed under the name uncultured bacterium. RNAcentral describes it as "partial 16S ribosomal RNA". It matches the Rfam family "Bacterial small subunit ribosomal RNA", at positions 28 to 507 of the family's 1533-position model. The record is from RNAcentral.